Molecule: long non-coding RNA, 1178 nt
Organism: Zingiber officinale
Lineage: Eukaryota; Viridiplantae; Streptophyta; Magnoliopsida; Zingiberales; Zingiberaceae
Exons: 5
Source: RefSeq, a predicted model, not a curated record
CUAAAUCCAUGUUGCCGAACUCUUCUUCUCCCACUCCGCUCUUCACGCGUCGUCGAUCGCCCAAUCGCUGACUGCCAGCAUCACCCGACACUGCUCGAUUCCUCUCUUCCCUGAUUCCCAAUUCCAUCUCCAGUUUCUCUUCUCCCCAACUCAUUGUAGCUGCCGCCGCCCAUUGCUAGAUCACCGACUGCCUAACAUUGCUCGAUGUCGCUUGAGCGCUUGGCACUGACCGAUGUUGUCGAUUCCUAUCCCCAAUCCCGACCGCACCAUCCUUUUCCCUAUGCGGACCGCUAUCCGCGUCGCCUUGCUAGAUCGCCAGACCCCCUUGCACCAUCGGCUUUUCUCCGACCACAAGUAGGAAGCCGUCCCGAUUUCCAGCUACCCUUCUUCCUCGCUUCACUACCGCUGCCCCUCUCGGCCGAUCGUCGACCAACGCCCUUCACUUGAAGCCGAGUCAGCAACGCCACAACCGUCGACCAUGGUGAGAUCUACCCCUUGUUGUUUUUCUAGUUGUGCCGAGACUAACUUGGCAGCACUGCCGUCUCUCCUCUAUUCACAUCCAUUUCGACAGCCACCCACAAUCAUAGUACCUUGAACCGUUACUGCUCUUGCCAUUUUCAUUGCUGGGGUCACUGCCGGAGAGUGAGCUGCCAACUGCCACCUCCCUGCACUGGCCAGCGUAGUCAUAGCCACAACCAUCACCGCCUUCAUCUAUUCUGGCCAGAAACUUAGGGUUAUUGGAGGGUGCUGAUUUUGGAGCAUUGGAUUUGCUGGACAGUAGCUCUGCCUAACUCUGGCCACCAUCUUUCGAUUGUGAAUCCCUCAGGUAGUGAGCCACCAUUAGCCACCAUAGAUUUGAGUUUUGAUUUGAUUUGAAGCAAACUAUUGGACUUGAAGAUAUUCAGUGCGACUUACAAAUAAAGGCAGGUAGAAGGUAGAGGUAUAAGGAGUUGCUUGGAGGAUCCUGACUGCUAGUCCCACGUCACAUCUGAGAUAGGCUUUCCAUGCUUUUUAGCACUACACUAUUUGUACUCUGUAUUUGGUUUUAGUAUUGCGUUAUGUGGAUUUAUUUAUGGUUUUGAGCCUUGUGGCUCAUUUAUUCAUUUUGGAUUUGUAUUGUGGUGUAAGUCAUGCCAGCAUGCAAUCAGCGUUAUAUCCUGUGUAGUUUAUGUUUGUAA